CCCCUCGUAGCUCAAUGGAUAGAGCAGGUCCCUACUAAGUUCCGUGUUGCGGGUUCGAGUCCCGCCGAGGGCGCCA
RNAcentral lists this transfer RNA (76 nucleotides) under Nitratireductor thuwali. RNAcentral's name for it is "Nitratireductor sp. 1536 tRNA-Ser". It matches the Rfam family "tRNA". From Rfam's summary of the family: Transfer RNA (tRNA) molecules are approximately 80 nucleotides in length. The record is from RNAcentral. Lineage: Bacteria; Pseudomonadati; Pseudomonadota; Alphaproteobacteria; Hyphomicrobiales; Phyllobacteriaceae.